UGAGCCGGCCGGGCGAUCGCGUCGCCGCAAACGGGCAGCAUGAAUGCUGCUACGUGGGCGCCGAGGAAAGUCCGGACUCCACAGAGCACGGUGGUUGCUAACGGCAACCCGGGGUGACCCGCGGGCAAGUGCAACAGAAAGUAGACCGCCUAGUGCCUCCGCUUGCGUGUUUGUCCAAGUUGAGGCCCUAAGGUAAGGGUGAAACGGUGCGUUAAGAGCGCACCAGCACCGUCAGCGAUGGCGGUGGCUGGGUAAACCCCACCGGGAGCAAGGCAUCACGGCUCUGCCACGAUGCAGGGCCCGAUCAGGCGUUUUAAGGCUGCUCGCUCGAGCCUGAAGGUAGCUGCUGGAACCAACUGGCAACGGUUGGUCUAGAUGGAUGGUCGCCGCGCGGUAUCCUCACUGGCUGGGGUGCUGCGGUUAGACAGAAUCCGGCUUAUAGGUCGGCUCAUUCG
RNAcentral lists this RNase P RNA (455 nucleotides) under Corynebacterium macginleyi. RNAcentral describes it as "RNase P RNA component class A". It matches the Rfam family "Bacterial RNase P class A". From Rfam's summary of the family: Ribonuclease P (RNase P) is a ubiquitous endoribonuclease, found in archaea, bacteria and eukarya as well as chloroplasts and mitochondria. Its best characterised activity is the generation of mature 5'-ends of tRNAs by cleaving the 5'-leader elements of precursor-tRNAs. Lineage: Bacteria; Bacillati; Actinomycetota; Actinomycetes; Mycobacteriales; Corynebacteriaceae. The record is from RNAcentral.